GCAGUCGUGGCCGAGUGGUUAAGGCGAUGGUCUAGAAAUCCGUUGGGGUCUCCCCGCGCAUUUUCGAAUCCUGUCGACUGCG
Non-coding RNA from Ixodes scapularis (black-legged tick), 82 nucleotides. The record is from Rfam. NCBI's taxonomy places the organism in Eukaryota, Metazoa, Arthropoda, Arachnida, Ixodida, Ixodidae.